Molecule: unclassified non-coding RNA, 378 nt
Filed under: uncultured Gemmatimonadaceae bacterium
Lineage: Bacteria; Pseudomonadati; Gemmatimonadota; Gemmatimonadia; Gemmatimonadales; Gemmatimonadaceae
Description: contains 16S-23S intergenic spacer region
Source: RNAcentral
UCCGGCUUAACACCGGCAGUCUCCUUAAAGUUCCUGGUUUCCCAGUGGCAACUAAGGACAAGGGUUGCGCUCGUUACGGGACUUAACCCAACAUCUCACGACACGAGCUGACGACAGCCAUGCAGCACCUGUGCAGGGACUCCGAAGAGGGGACUCGGUUUCUCGAGUCUUUCCCCUGCAUGUCAAGCCCAGGUAAGGUUCUUCGCGUUGCGUCGAAUUAAACCACAUGCUCCACCGCUUGUGCGGGCCCCCGUCAAUUCCUUUGAGUUUCAGCCUUGCGGCCGUACUCCCCAGGCGGGGCACUUAAUGCGUUAGCGCCGGCACUCAGGGGGUCGCUCCCCCAAGCACCUAGUGCCCAUCGUUUACGGCGUGGACUAC